UGACAAGCUUAAAUGCAGAGUGAGCAAUGAGAUGGGAUCCAGCCACUUUCUUGGAGGAACACUAAGUCUAAGAUGUUCCUGGACUGUGGGAAGAGGCUGGAGGGAGUAAUUUUCACAGUCUGGCUAAUUGGCUCUGUUCCAUGGCCACAGUCAUCCAACCUAACCUGGAUAACUCAUAGGCACUUCAGGAAUAUACACAGAAAAUGAAAGCCCAUUGUUUGAACAGAUUUCAUUAAACGAGAGCUCUACUUUAAGAAGAAGAAAAAAAUUGUAGACUACCAGAUGUUAUGGAUCUACAG
Molecule: long non-coding RNA, 299 nt
Filed under: Pan troglodytes (chimpanzee)
Lineage: Eukaryota; Metazoa; Chordata; Mammalia; Primates; Hominidae
Description: lncRNA (ENSPTRG00000054363.1)
Source: RNAcentral